Bombus huntii is the source of this 473-nucleotide long non-coding RNA. RefSeq lists it as uncharacterized. NCBI's taxonomy places the organism in Eukaryota, Metazoa, Arthropoda, Insecta, Hymenoptera, Apidae. The transcript has 2 exons. The record is from RefSeq and is a predicted model, not a curated record.
UAGAGCGUCUGGAUCGAACUUUACGUCCUUGAUAGCUUCUGUUGCCUCUCUCUGAAAUUCGUGGUUUGUUUUCGUAGUAUCUAUAUCUAUCUUUGUUUACCACGUGAUUUCGUUGACGACCGUGAGUGGCUUCAACCGAUCUCUUUCCCUUCGAAUAACCUUAAAGCCUGUUCUGGGAAAUGUAAACUUAUGCAUCGUGCAAAGACUGGCAAGCAGUAGAAUAUGUGAAACAAUGCGAUAAAAGUAGGUCGAGUUAGAGAAAAGAAUGACGAUUACGAACUGUGGAUAAUAGUUUAUUGUUAUGCUGUUUUCAAACGUGCAACAAAAAUUGAAUCACCGGCAAAACAAUAGUUAAAAUAUAUUUUAUACUGAAAUAAGACACAUUUGUAUUAACGAUAUGCUGAUGUUACAUUUGUCACAUAAAAAAUAUAUUAUUUAUAUUUUAUAAAUAUUAAAGAAUUGGUUAAUUUGAA